GACGAACGCUGGCGGCGUGCCUAAUACAUGCAAGUCGACCGCUUUUUCUUUCACCGGAGCUUGCUCCACCGUAAGAAAAAGAGUGGCGAACGGGUGAGUAACCCGUGGGUAACCUGCCCAUCAGAAGGGGAUAACACUUAGAAACAGGUGCUAAUACCGGAUAACACUAUUUUCCGCAUGGCAGAAAGUUGAAAGGCGCUUUUGCGUCACUGAUGGAUGGACCCGCGGUGCAGUAGCUAGUUGGUGAGGUAACGGCUCACCAAGGCAACGACGCAUAGCCGACCUGAGAGGGUGAUCGGCCACACUGGGACUGAGACACGGCCCAGACUCCUACGGGAGGCAGCAGUAGGGAAUCUUCGGCAAUGGACGAAGGUCUGACCGAGCAACGCCGCGUGAGUGAAGAAGGUUUUCGGAUCGUAAAACUCUGUUGUUAGAGAAGAACAAGGAUGAGAGUAAAAUGUUCAUCCCUUGACGGUAUCUAACCAGAAAGCCACGGCUAACUACGUGCCAGCAGCCGCGGUAA
This 523-nucleotide ribosomal RNA is filed under the name uncultured bacterium. RNAcentral's name for it is "partial 16S ribosomal RNA". It matches the Rfam family "Bacterial small subunit ribosomal RNA", at positions 28 to 523 of the family's 1533-position model. The record is from RNAcentral.